AUGACUUAUCAUAUCAAGUUCCUCCUUUUGUUUCUGCUCUUUAGGAGCUCAUCGUCUUGUUUUGGUUUUCAACUUGAUAUCCAGUGCCUGUUGUCUGUGCAAGAAUCAGUGAUUGAUUCCAAAGGAAUACUCAUGUCCUCAUGGGAUUUUGUUGCCAAUACAACAGAUGGUUACAUAUGCCGAUUCACUGGCGUGGAAUGCUGGCACCCAGACGAGAACAAGGUUUACGCUUUGCGUCUCGGCAACCUAGGGCUUGAAGGCCCAUUUCCUCAAGGUCUUCAAAAUUGCACAAGCUUGAACAUGUUGGACCUGUCAAGCAACAAUUUUUCAGGACCGAUCCCUCCUAACAUCUCAUGGCAGCUGUCGUAUCUGUCAUCUCUGGAUCUUUCCUUCAAUAAAUUUUCAGGAGCUUUGUGGUACACCACUGUACAAGUGUCCUAG
Molecule: ribosomal RNA, 441 nt
Filed under: Triticum aestivum (bread wheat)
Lineage: Eukaryota; Viridiplantae; Streptophyta; Magnoliopsida; Poales; Poaceae
Description: partial small subunit ribosomal RNA
Source: RNAcentral